Molecule: ribosomal RNA, 440 nt
Filed under: uncultured bacterium
Lineage: Bacteria
Description: partial 16S ribosomal RNA
Rfam family: Bacterial small subunit ribosomal RNA
Source: RNAcentral
CCUACGGGCGGCAGCAGUGGGGAAUAUUGCACAAUGGGGGAAACCCUGAUGCAGCGACGCCGCGUGAGUGAAGAAGUAUUUCGGUAUGUAAAGCUCUAUCAGCAGGGAAGAAAAUGUCGGUACCUGAUUAAGAAGCACCGGCUAACUACGUGCCAGCAGCCGCGGUAAUACGUAGGGGGCAAGCGUUAUCCGGAUUUACUGGGUGUAAAGGGAGCGUAGACGGCAGAGCAAGUCUGAAGUGAAAUGCCGGGGCUUAACCCCGGAACUGCUUUGGAGACUGUGCAGCUAGAGAGCAGGAGCGGUAAGUGGAAUUCAUAGUGUAGCGGUGAAAUGCGUAGAGAUUAGGAGGAACACCAGUGGCGAAGGCGGCUUACUGAACUGUAACUGACGUUGAGGCACGAAAGCGUGGGGAGCAAACAGGAUUAGAUACCUGUGUAGUC